Methylobacterium sp. 4-46 is the source of this 73-nucleotide non-coding RNA. Lineage: Bacteria; Pseudomonadati; Pseudomonadota; Alphaproteobacteria; Hyphomicrobiales; Methylobacteriaceae. The record is from Rfam.
GGGCCCGUAGCUCAACGGUUAGAGCCGGCCGCUCAUAACGGUCUGGUUGCAGGUUCGAAUCCUGCCGGGCCCA